Molecule: transfer RNA, 72 nt
Filed under: Camelus bactrianus (Bactrian camel)
Lineage: Eukaryota; Metazoa; Chordata; Mammalia; Artiodactyla; Camelidae
Also listed under: 2 other names
Rfam family: tRNA
About the family: Transfer RNA (tRNA) molecules are approximately 80 nucleotides in length. Their secondary structure includes four short double-helical elements and three loops (D, anti-codon, and T loops).
Source: Rfam by way of RNAcentral
GACAAUACAGCUCAGUGGUGGAGUGCAUGCUUAGCAUGCGUGAGGUCCUGGGUUCAAUCCCCAGUACUUCCA